Molecule: unclassified non-coding RNA, 359 nt
Filed under: Hevea brasiliensis (rubber tree)
Lineage: Eukaryota; Viridiplantae; Streptophyta; Magnoliopsida; Malpighiales; Euphorbiaceae
Source: RNAcentral
CCACACGCUGGAGAUAACGAGGCAAAUUUGACAUAUACUUGACAAGCUCAUCAUCUUUUGUUGCCCUUACAAUGACAGAGAGCUGCUGGCUAUUCACUGUAGUCUUUUGUUGGACCAUGGCCCUAGCAUUUGUAUGUUUUCUUAGUUCAUGGGGCAGAUCAUCAUAUGGCUUAUUGAUGUAACUUUCGGCUUUUAACUUGUCUUGAUGCUUUAUGCUCUGUGUUGCUUGGGUUAGAAGAACCAUAUCCUUGACUAUCUUGGAAUUCUGCUGCUGUUUUGAACUCUUUUUUACGCCUAAACUGCUGAAUCCCAUUUUGUUAGAAGGUUCUGAGUAUGUUAAUACUUUGUCAUAACCCGGA